CAUGCACCAGUGGGGUCCCUCAGCCUGGCCUGUACCCUCUCGCAAUCUGGGACCCCUCAGGGAUGUUGGAGAGCCAGUUUUGGCCUGAUCCGGCAGGCCAGGCUGAGGGACCCCACUGGUGCAUG
RNAcentral lists this microRNA precursor (125 nucleotides) under Myotis davidii. RNAcentral's name for it is "mir-9193 microRNA precursor family". It matches the Rfam family "mir-9193 microRNA precursor family". The record is from Rfam by way of RNAcentral. Lineage: Eukaryota; Metazoa; Chordata; Mammalia; Chiroptera; Vespertilionidae.